Molecule: transfer RNA, 75 nt
Filed under: Promethearchaeota archaeon
Lineage: Archaea; Promethearchaeati; Promethearchaeota
Description: Candidatus Lokiarchaeota archaeon (microbial mat metagenome) tRNA-Arg
Rfam family: tRNA
About the family: Transfer RNA (tRNA) molecules are approximately 80 nucleotides in length. Their secondary structure includes four short double-helical elements and three loops (D, anti-codon, and T loops). Further hydrogen bonds mediate the characteristic L-shaped molecular structure. tRNAs have two regions of fundamental functional importance: the anti-codon, which is responsible for specific mRNA codon recognition, and the 3' end, to which the tRNAs corresponding amino acid is attached (by aminoacyl-tRNA synthetases). tRNAs cope with the degeneracy of the genetic code in two manners: having more than one tRNA (with a specific anti-codon) for a particular amino acid; and 'wobble' base-pairing, i.e. permitting non-standard base-pairing at the 3rd anti-codon position.
Source: RNAcentral
GGACCAGUUGCCUAGUCUGGAUCGGGCGCUGGCUUGCGGAGCCAGAGGUCGGGGGUUCAAAUCCCUCCUGGUCCA